This 497-nucleotide ribosomal RNA is filed under the name uncultured bacterium. Its description in RNAcentral is "partial 16S ribosomal RNA". It matches the Rfam family "Bacterial small subunit ribosomal RNA", at positions 28 to 507 of the family's 1533-position model. The record is from RNAcentral.
GAUGAACGCUGGCGGCGUGCCUAAUACAUGCAAGUCGAGCGAACAGACGAGGAGCUUGCUCCUCUGACGUUAGCGGCGGACGGGUGAGUAACACGUGGAUAACCUACCUAUAAGACUGGGAUAACUUCGGGAAACCGGAGCUAAUACCGGAUAAUAUAUUGAACCGCAUGGUUCAAUAGUGAAAGACGGUUUUGCUGUCACUUAUAGAUGGAUCCGCGCCGCAUUAGCUAGUUGGUAAGGUAACGGCUUACCAAGGCAACGAUGCGUAGCCGACCUGAGAGGGUGAUCGGCCACACUGGAACGGAGACACGGUCCAGACUCCUACGGGAGGCAGCAGUAGGGAAUCUUCCGCAAUGGGCGAAAGCCUGACGGAGCAACGCCGCGUGAGGGAUGAAGGUCUUCGGAUCGUAAAACUCUGUUAUUAGGGAAGAACAAAUGUGUAAGUAACUAUGCACGUCUUGACGGUACCUAAUCAGAAAGCCACGGCUAACUACGUG